ACCUGAAGUAGAGGUGCGAUUAUUAUAAGUAUCUUCUUUGAGCUGACUGCGUUGAUAAGAAGGGAAAGGAAUAACCGCCGAAAUCAAUCAAGCGUCAUCUUGAUUGGUUGGGAUCGUUACCGAAAGGGACGAUACUGUCAUAGUAAUUAUUUUGUUUAACUAUGGAGCGCUACGAGUUAG
RNAcentral lists this non-coding RNA (180 nucleotides) under Gallibacterium salpingitidis. Its description in RNAcentral is "Lysine sequence". It matches the Rfam family "Lysine riboswitch aptamer". Rfam says of the family: Riboswitches are metabolite binding domains within certain messenger RNAs that serve as precision sensors for their corresponding targets. Allosteric rearrangement of mRNA structure is mediated by ligand binding, and this results in modulation of gene expression. This family includes riboswitches that sense lysine in a number of genes involved in lysine metabolism, including lysC. Lineage: Bacteria; Pseudomonadati; Pseudomonadota; Gammaproteobacteria; Pasteurellales; Pasteurellaceae. The record is from Rfam by way of RNAcentral.